This 735-nucleotide ribosomal RNA is filed under the name bacterium F-8. RNAcentral describes it as "bacterial SSU rRNA". It matches the Rfam family "Bacterial small subunit ribosomal RNA", at positions 56 to 780 of the family's 1533-position model. The record is from RNAcentral.
UGCAAGUCGAACGGUAACAGGAAGCAGCUUGCUGCUUCGCUGACGAGUGGCGGACGGGUGAGUAAUGUCUGGGAAACUGCCUGAUGGAGGGGGAUAACUACUGGAAACGGUAGCUAAUACCGCAUAACGUCGCAAGACCAAAGAGGGGGACCUUCGGGCCUCUUGCCAUCGGAUGUGCCCAGAUGGGAUUAGCUAGUAGGUGGGGUAACGGCUCACCUAGGCGACGAUCCCUAGCUGGUCUGAGAGGAUGACCAGCCACACUGGAACUGAGACACGGUCCAGACUCCUACGGGAGGCAGCAGUGGGGAAUAUUGCACAAUGGGCGCAAGCCUGAUGCAGCCAUGCCGCGUGUAUGAAGAAGGCCUUCGGGUUGUAAAGUACUUUCAGCGGGGAGGAAGGGAGUAAAGUUAAUACCUUUGCUCAUUGACGUUACCCGCAGAAGAAGCACCGGCUAACUCCGUGCCAGCAGCCGCGGUAAUACGGAGGGUGCAAGCGUUAAUCGGAAUUACUGGGCGUAAAGCGCACGCAGGCGGUUUGUUAAGUCAGAUGUGAAAUCCCCGGGCUCAACCUGGGAACUGCAUCUGAUACUGGCAAGCUUGAGUCUCGUAGAGGGGGGUAGAAUUCCAGGUGUAGCGGUGAAAUGCGUANAGAUCUGGAGGAAUACCGGUGGCGAAGGCGGCCCCCUGGACGAAGACUGACGCUCAGGUGCGAAAGCGUGGGGAGCAAACAGGAUUA